AAGAAUGCCAUGUAAACUCUUCAGAGGGCUGGGGUGACACUCUUACCUGUUUUGAACAGUGUCACUAUUCAGUGUUUUCUACGGAUGUGACAUUUUGUUUGAAACCCUGCCUGGAAAAGCUCAUUUGCAUUCCUGCAGCAAGGCUACAGAAUAAACCCGGCAAACGUGUCUAUUUGUGUACUUCAAUAUACGACUGUGCUUGCUUCAAUCAAGACUUAUUUUCAGUAUCAUGGCCAACAAAAGCAUUAAAUGAGUUUUCUCCAA
Molecule: non-coding RNA, 264 nt
Organism: Oryctolagus cuniculus (rabbit)
Lineage: Eukaryota; Metazoa; Chordata; Mammalia; Lagomorpha; Leporidae
Source: RefSeq, a predicted model, not a curated record